RNAcentral lists this ribosomal RNA (498 nucleotides) under uncultured bacterium. RNAcentral's name for it is "partial 16S ribosomal RNA". It matches the Rfam family "Bacterial small subunit ribosomal RNA", at positions 899 to 1397 of the family's 1533-position model. The record is from RNAcentral.
ACUCAAAGGAAUUGACGGGGGCCCGCACAAGCGGUGGAGCAUGUGGUUCAAUUCGACGCAACGCGAAGAACCUUACCCAGGCUUGAACCGCCGGUGACAGCCCUGGAAACAGGGUUUUCCUUCGGGACGCCGGUAGAGGUGCUGCAUGGCUGUCGUCAGCUCGUGUCGUGAGAUGUUGGGUUAAGUCCCGCAACGAGCGCAACCCUUGCCCUUAGUUACCAUCGGGUUAUGCCGGGGACUCUAAGGGGACUGCCCCGGAAAACGGGGAGGAAGGUGGGGAUGACGUCAAGUCCUCAUGGCCUUUAUGUCUGGGGCUACACACGUGCUACAAUGGGCGGCACAAAGGGUCGCAAUGCCGCGAGGCUGAGCUAAUCCCAAAAAACCGUCCCCAGUUCGGAUUGGAGUCUGCAACUCGACUCCAUGAAGUUGGAAUCGCUAGUAAUCGCGGAUCAGCACGCCGCGGUGAAUACGUUCCCGGGCCUUGUACACACCGCCCGU